UCAAAUGUGCAGGAAAUAAUUAUUCUACGAUGUCUUUGCCAGUCUUUUGAGCCUGAAUCACUGUUGAGACCUUAUUAAACAAUGUAAUGGCUUGGCUCAGAAAAUAAUUUUAUGACGUCUUUUAACUCAAGUUUCUUAGUUUUUACAGUUCAAGUACUUUUCAGACUACUCUGGUUCUCUUCCAAAUUUAUAUGUGAGAUUCUUGAUAGGAGAGAAUUGUAAAUACAAUAAGGAACAUCAGCCUUAGCAUAUUUGUUAAUGUUUAUUUGGCCCUCUGGGAAAUAGGCCAGUAAAUUUUUAUUGUUUACUUUGAGGGGUUAUUUUAGUGAAAGUGACCCAAAUCAAAUCAAAACAUUUAAAUACCUACCCCUUGGGUUAUGGAUGAAGUGCAUAUGGAAACCACCCAAGCUUUAGGUGCUGCUAUUAGUGACAGAAAUAGUAACUGCUAACACAUUGUUUAUUCUUUGCCAGAAACUUUUAUAUUUGAAAAUACAUUCAAGGAGUUUCCUAGUGGCCUAGCAGUUAAGGACCCAGUGUUGUCACUGCUGUGGCACACGUUAGACCCCUGUGGCCAAAAAUAAAAUCCAUUCAAUUCUUGUAACCACUUUAUGAGGGAGAUGUAUCAUUAUUCCCAUACUAUAAGGUAAGGAAACGGAGUCACAGGGUUAAAAUAGCAUACCUAAUGCCGCAUAACUAGUAAGGGGAGGAGUCAGGACUCAAGCUCUGGUAAUUUGAUUGCAGAACUCACACUCAGUAAUUACAUCUACAACCUCUGUCCUAUAGUUAACAAGAGGUAGAGGAGACAAAAUUAAAUAUUAAGCCCUAAAAUGUUCAAAAUGAUAGUGAUACCUUCCAAAGAAAGUCUUAAAGUUAGGUUUGUAUGUGAAAGUACCAUACUAAGCACAAAUUAGUUUCUCACAUAUUCCAUGAUGGUACUACUGUCCCAUUGUAAGGAGGCAUGCUCUGACAAGUGUUUCGGUAACACAGGAUGUGGGAUGUUUAUGUGUUCUUGUCCCUCAGUGUGUAUGUGUGGUCCAUGGAUAUACUUGUAGCUAUAUGAAUUCAGUCGGCCUUUAAUAGUGUCCUCCCCUGAGAAAACUGUCCAGAAUAAAGCCACACAAUCUAUAGGUCACACUUGGUUGUACUGUUUUUGAGGUAUCAGCAUCAAACAGCAUUGUCAUCUCACUUUACAUGUCUCUGGAAGCUAAUCAAAAUCUAAAGGAAAAUUGACCUUUUGUAACUAAAAGACCACAAACAAACUAUACAUUUAAAUUGUAAACUUAGUUUGCAAAUUACCUAUCCCUAAGCUAUCAGAUAUACCAUUUUCUUAGUAUUUCAUGUCAAUUUAAAGAAUUGGACUUCUGGCAAAGCUUAAUAAUCAUUAACUUCUUUCUGUCUUACAGAGCAAUUCCAGGCAGUAUAUAGCAAGCUCUUACACAGCCUUCAGACAUACUCUUGGGUAUUACCUCAGAGAGGCAACCUCGUCCCCCCGCCAUUUCACAUACACAGAAAAUUGAUAGCUCCCGUUUCUGUUUUAUCAGCCCUGUAGUCGUUUCAUUAUUGCUUAUGUGGCCUCAUAAUUGUGAUUAUUUUCUUCCUUAUUUCUCUAAGAUUAGCCUGUAAGCCUAAAAGGCUUGAGCCCAGGCGGUAUCUUAACUUAUUUGGUGACUAAUGUAGUAAAUAGAGCCAGUGACUUCACAUAGCACUCAGUAUUAUGUUAGUUCCCUUCCUUACUAUGGAAUACAUUGAUACCAAUAUUAGUAUGACUACUCAAAACAACUUACUUUUUAGAUAGCCAGAGUUAGACCUUACUUUUCAGUGGAAUUCUCCUAGUCUCAAUUAAGUCAAAUCUAUUUCCAGAUUACCAAUAUCACAUUUUCAUUGAAGGAUCAGAUGGAAAGAGAAAUGAAAAACAUGAAAUAGUUCUUGCCAGGCACUUAUUUUGACAUCACCACUGCCCCCACCAAAAAAAAAAAAAAAAAAAAAAAAAAAA
Molecule: long non-coding RNA, 1993 nt
Filed under: Sus scrofa (pig)
Lineage: Eukaryota; Metazoa; Chordata; Mammalia; Artiodactyla; Suidae
Description: lncRNA (ENSSSCG00045017565.1, ENSSSCG00055003915.1, ENSSSCG00065034788.1)
Source: RNAcentral